UAUGGGCGCAGCAGGCGAGAAACCUUUGCAAUGUGCGAAAGCACGACAAGGUUAAUCCGAGUGUCUCCUGCUAAAGGAGUCUUUUGUCAGUUGUAGAAUCACUGGUGAAUAAGGGGUGGGCAAGUUCUGGUGUCAGCCGCCGCGGUAAAACCAGCACCUCGAGUGGUCAGGAGGUUUAUUGGGCCUAAAGCAUCCGUAGCCGGUUGCAUAAGUUUUCGGUUAAAUCUAUGCGCUUAACGUAUAGGCCGCCGAAAAUACUGUGCAGCUAGGGAGUGGGAGAGGUACACGGUACUCGAUAGGAAGGGGUAAAAUCCUUUGAUCUAUUGAAGACCACCUGUGGCGAAGGCGGUGUACCAGAACACGUUCGACGGUGAGGGAUGAAAGCUGGGGGAGCAAACCGGAUUAGAUACCCGGGUAGUCCCAGCUGUAAACGAUGCAGACUCGGUGAUGCAUUGGCUUGUGGCCAAUGCAGUGCCGCAGGGAAGCCGUUAAGUCUGCCGCCUGGGAAGUACGUACGCAAGUAUGAAACUUAAAGGAAUUGGCGGGGGAGCACCACAAGGGGUGAGCUGCGGUUCAUUGGAGUCA
This 585-nucleotide ribosomal RNA is filed under the name uncultured archaeon. Its description in RNAcentral is "bacterial SSU rRNA". It matches the Rfam family "Archaeal small subunit ribosomal RNA", at positions 324 to 914 of the family's 1478-position model. The record is from RNAcentral.